RNAcentral lists this ribosomal RNA (253 nucleotides) under uncultured bacterium. RNAcentral's name for it is "partial 16S ribosomal RNA". It matches the Rfam family "Bacterial small subunit ribosomal RNA", at positions 524 to 776 of the family's 1533-position model. The record is from RNAcentral.
UACGAAGGGGGCUAGCGUUGCUCGGAAUCACUGGGCGUAAAGCGCACGUAGGCGGACUCUUAAGUCGGUGGUGAAAUCCCGGGGCUCAACCCCGGAACUGCAUUCGAUACUGCCUUGCUCGAGUACUGGAGAGGAGACUGGAAUUUACGGUGUAGCAGUGAAAUGCGUAGAUAUCGUAAGGAAGACCAGUGGCGAAGGCGAGUCUCUGGACAGUUACUGACACUGAGGCACGAAGGCCAGGGGAGCAAACGGG